AAUACCUGAAACAAUUAGCUUUAUUUUCCCUGCUUUCAAACACAAGAGCACUUAUGAGAAAGAAAAUUGACAUCGGAGAAAGAAAUCCAGCACUCCCAAUGCAAUAUGAAGUAUGGAUCAGAGAGGCUGCUUAGAGGAAUGACUGCUCUUCCAGAUGACAGUGUCAUAUGAUGAACGAAGCUGAAGCCAAACAGCAGAGGCCUGAAUUAUAUAGGCGUAUCGGCCAGGGUCUGAUCAGGAGACAGAAUCACUCCAGUUAUUUUAUUUUAUUUUUUUUGAGAUGGAGUCUCGCUCUGUUGCCCAGGCUGGAGUGCAGUGGUGCAAUCUCGGCUCACUGCAAGCUCCACCUCCUGGGUUCACGUCCUUCUCCUGCCUCAGCCUCCUGAGUAGCUGGGACUACAGGCGCCUGCCACCACACCCGGCUAAUUUUUUUUGUAUUUUUUAGUAGACACAGGGUUUCACCGUGUUAGCCAGGAUGGUCUCGAUCUCCUGACCUCGUGAUCCACCUGCCUUGGCCUCCCAAAGUGCUCGAAUUACAGGCAUGAGACAUCACGCCUGGCCCACUCCAGUUAUUUUAACAGAAAGAAUUUAAUGCAGAGAGAGCCAUUAACAAGACAUAGAGUUGUUAACUAGGUGAGAGGGUAAAAACAGAACUCUAAGGUAUCAUGGGAGCAGAAGAGAUAAAAGCAAGAGGUGAAAAUUAUUAAAAUAAAGAGCCUGGACGAGGGCCCCCAUGGAAGUGAACUCGAAAUUCUGAGGAGGAGGAGGUGCUGCUCAGGUGACACAAGUGUCUCCAGGGUACCUGAAGAGGCUGAUUGUGCAAGUGUUGAAAAACCUGUGGACUGAAUUCAGCCAGCUGCUGCCUCAGGGAAAGAACUGCUGCUGCCAGGGUGAAGAAGUGUAUCUUGUGUACCACAGACGGGAAGCUCACAGGAAGCAAAUGGGAAGUACACAUCACUUCCUUGUAUGGAGCCUCGCUCUGUUGUCCAGGCUGGAGUGCAGUGGCAUGAUCUCGGCUCACUGCAAGCUCUGUCUCCCAGGUUCACUCCAUUCUCCUGCUUUAACCUCCCGAGUAGCUGGGACUACAGGCGCCCACCACGACGUCCAGCUAAUUUUUUGUAUUUUCAGUAGAGAUGGGGUUUCACCAUAUCAGCCAGGAUGGUCUCCAUCUCCUGACCUUGUGAUCCACCUGCCUCGGCCUCCCGAAGUGCUCGGAUUACAGGAGUGAGCCACCACGCCUGGCCAAUAUGCUGGCUCUUAAGCACAGAAGAGUUGAGCUGAAAUCUGUUGCUUUCUACCACAUUCUUCAAAAACACAUCAAAUAAGUUUUUUUGGCAUCUAGAAGGAUGCUGCAGCUUUGCAGCAUCUAGAACUCGCUACUGGCAGAGCCGAAUAGAGAGGCAGCUGGCAAGACAGAAAUGUGGCUUGCAGAGGCCAAGCUCCAGCAUCACACAGGAGGGCACAGAAGGCCAUGUUUGGGGUUGAGAGACAAUGGCUUCAUAAAGGGCACAACAAGAAACUAUCCUGUGAUACCAGUAGCAAAGUCUCCUUCUUUUGCAGUUGAGUAUACAUCUUUGGGAAUGAUAAAGGAGAUGAAGGGGCUUCAGAGUGUAUGAAAGGGUUAAAAAAAACUUUCAUAGUUAGGAAAUGCUUAUUUAGCUUCUGGGAAUGCAACUGUUCCCUCACUCCCCAAUCAUAUCACAAUAUUCACUAGUAACUCUUGGAUGUUACUAUCACUCCCAUUCCUUUCUGGGGGAAGGAGGUAGAUAAGCACAGUCAUAUUUGUAUUUUGAAUAUCUUUUUAAAAAAUUACUAAAUUCAGCCAGGUGCAGUGGCUCACGCUUGUAAGCCCAGCACUUUGGGAGUCCGAGACAGGUGGAUCACCUGAGGUCAGGAAUUCAAGACCAGCUUGGCCAACAUGGCAAAACCCCAUCUCUACUAAAAGUAUAAAAAUUAGCUGGGCCUGGUGGUGGGCGCCUGUAGUCCCAGCUACUCAGGAGGCUGAGGCAGGAGAAUAGCUUGAACCGGGGAGGUGGAGGUUGCAGUGAGCCGAGAUCGUGCCACUGCACUCCAGCCUGGGAGACAAGAGUGAGACUGUCUCAAAAACAAAACAAAACAAAACAAAAACUACUAAAUUCACAACAACAACAUAUCUUUAUCAUGUAGAAAGACAGUAAAUAUGUAUAUGGUGGUUAAAAGAACA
Pan troglodytes (chimpanzee) is the source of this 2203-nucleotide long non-coding RNA. RefSeq lists it as uncharacterized. Lineage: Eukaryota; Metazoa; Chordata; Mammalia; Primates; Hominidae. The record is from RefSeq and is a predicted model, not a curated record. The transcript is spliced from 2 exons.